Molecule: ribosomal RNA, 460 nt
Filed under: uncultured bacterium
Lineage: Bacteria
Description: partial 16S ribosomal RNA
Rfam family: Bacterial small subunit ribosomal RNA
Source: RNAcentral
CCUACGGGUGGCUGCAGUGAGGAAUAUUGGUCAAUGGGCGCGAGCCUGAACCAGCCAAGUAGCGUGAAGGAUGACUGCCCUACGGGUUGUAAACUUCUUUUAUAAGGGAAUAAAUUUAGUCACUUGUGCCUUUUUGUAUUUACUUUAUGAAUAAGGAUCGGCUAACGCCGUGCCAUCAGCCGCGGUAAUACGGAGGAUCCGAGCGUUAUCCGGAUUUAUUGGGUUUAAAGGGAGCGUAGAUGGGUUGUUAAGUCAGUUGUGAAAGUUUGUGGCUCAACCGUAAAAUUGCAAUUGAUACUGGCAGUCUUGAGUACAGUUGAGGUAGGCGGAAUUCGUGGUGUAGCGGUGAAAUGCUUAGAUAUCACGAAGAACUCCGAUUGCGAAGGCAGCUUACUAAACUGCCACUGACAUUGAUGCGCGAAAGCGUGGGUAUCAAACAGGAUUAGAUACCCGGGUAGUC